This 460-nucleotide ribosomal RNA is filed under the name uncultured bacterium. RNAcentral's name for it is "partial 16S ribosomal RNA". It matches the Rfam family "Bacterial small subunit ribosomal RNA", at positions 338 to 795 of the family's 1533-position model. The record is from RNAcentral.
CCUACGGGAGGCAGCAGUGAGGAAUAUUGGUCAAUGGACGAGAGUCUGAACCAGCCAAGUAGCGUGAAGGAUGACUGCCCUAUGGGUUGUAAACUUCUUUUAUAUGGGAAUAAAACAUGGUAUGCAUACUCUUUUGUAUGUACCAUAUGAAUAAGGAUCGGCUAACUCCGUGCCAGCAGCCGCGGUAAUACGGAGGAUCCGAGCGUUAUCCGGAUUUAUUGGGUUUAAAGGGAGCGUAGGUGGAUUGUUAAGUCAGUUGUGAAAGUUUGCGGCUCAACCGUAAAAUUGCAGUUGAAACUGGCAGUCUUGAGUACAGUAGAGGUGGGCGGAAUUCGUGGUGUAGCGGUGAAAUGCUUAGAUAUCACGAAGAACUCCGAUUGCGAAGGCAGCUCACUGGACUGCAACUGACACUGAUGCUCGAAAGUGUGGGUAUCAAACAGGAUUAGAUACCCCUGUAGUC